UGUGCUACUGAGCUAUAUCCCCGGUCCCUUAGUUUUAGAAAUAUUGGUCUAGGUCUUCUUUUUUCAGUGCUGUAGACUAAACCCUGGUCCUGGCUUAUGCCAGGUAUCCCUGCUGCCCCCCUUGCUGAGACAUUUACAGUAAGUCAGCAGUUUCCAGGGCAGAAACAAGCCCAAGAUUUCCAGAAGGGCUUCCCCGGGGAGCUGAGCCCACCACCCUCCUGGCCUGCCCACGGCUCCCACCCUGGAGUAAGCAGUGCCAGGCUGGCCAACAAGUGCAUUCCUGCCCCACACAUCAACUUCUUGGUUAGCAUGUUACAUCCAUCCCUGCCUAGCUCCACAGCUUUGCUCUUGGUCCUCAAAUAAGGGGUGGGGAAGCGGGCAUCCAUGUGGCCAAAGGGAAAGAGCCAGCAGGUCCAUAGGCCUCUUGGGACAGACCCCAAAAUGUAGAUGAGAGGGCAGUGGGUAGCAGCCUGGGGCAGCUGGCACAGGUCCAUUUCUGAGAGCACAGGGUCAGUGCCUUCUUCAGACCUGGCACAGGCGGGGCAGCGGAGCCGCGCACAGUCCUCUACCCUCCACAGAGACACAUGCUGUGGUUUUUUAUUUGGUACCAGGAAUUGAACUCAGGACCUUGCGCUCGCCAAGCAGGUGCUCAUGCUGCUGAGCUAUAUCCCCGGCCCCCACAUGCUGUGUUUCUCACCUUUCUAUUGCUGGGACAAAAUGCCUGACAUAUACAACUUAAAGGAGAAGCUUAUUGGGGCUCAUCGUUUGGGGGGUUAUGAUGGUUGACUGACUGUGGCAAACUGAGAAAUUUAGUUAAACUUGACUAAAUGGGCUCAGCAGUUUUGCCCCCCAGGGUGUAGGAUGUAUCUGACUCUUUCUUUGGAGGAGCUCCAGUCUUCACCUUCACCUUGGACAUCACCUCCUGGCUUCCAGUGUAGGCUGUUCGGCUUCCGGCGCAGGUCCUUCGGCUUCCGGUGUGGACUCUUCAGCCUCCACGGCAGACUGAUACGGACUCCCAUGGGAUGCUGCAGUGAGCUCCAGACCUUGGGCUGAAUCCUCCAUUCGCAGUGUGCAGACACCCUCUGCACGCGUCCUCAUCCCACUGUCACAGGUAGCUUCCUCCUGUGGGAAGGCAGCCCUCCUUGUUGGCAGCGUGGACUCCUCCUCCACUUGGCCUCUAUCUGGUGGGACUGAUGAGGCCCAUCCACACAAACAUCUACUGUUCCCUUUUCUACCCAGCCACGGGUGGGCGUACUGCAGCUAGUGCAGCAGUCCCCUCUCUUAGGAUUAUACGAGGGCCUUGGGUCAUCCAUGGUCUUGCAUACCAGCCUCAACUCCUCUGAUCCGCCUCUAAUGGCCCUCCAUGACAGUUGGGGUAGCCAACACCAUCCCCAUGAGCUCUGGACUCAGAGCCUCCCAACCCCAGAAGCCCCAGCAGAGGAGCUUUUCCUACUCAGGGAUGCUGUUCUUGGUAGAAAUCUCCAGAAUGUGCUUUGUAACCAGGCUUCUCACCUCUAAAGGGCAGCUGCCAACACUUUCAGAGCCAACCUCUUGGGGCAGAGGACAGGCCACAAAUCAGAAGACUUCUCCCUGCCUCCUGGAUGCGUCUGUGCCUCUCACCAUCCUUCUUCCAGCCCUAGGGUGGGCAACUCAUGUUUUCAUGGGCUUCCCAGCCUGGAAGGGCCAACACACGAAGGAAAAGCUGUUUUGAGAGUCUUGUCACUACCUCUGACCAUGCUCCUCACCUGCCACAGCUCCUUAGGUCUGAGCAAACAGAGCUCUAUGGGUUGCGUAGCAUCCCAAAAAAAGAUCUGUUAAAGUCCUAGCCACCCAGAUCUUGUGAAUGUGACUGUGAUGGUUAAUUGUGACAUAACUGGAAUGGAUUAAGAAAUGCGUAGCACAUUCAUGGAGCACAGUUCUGGGUGUUCUGGAUGAUGGACAGGUAGGCCACAAACUGAAGAGGAAGCCCCACCCAGGAUGUGGGCAGCGCCAGCAACAGGCUGAUAGCUUAGAUGGAAUAAAAAGGGAAAGAAGUCAGCCUGCCCUUUUUGCCUCUCUAGAGGAGCUCCCAUUUUCACCAUCCACUGCCUUUGGACGUUUGUCUCCAGCUCCUCAGGCUUCCACUGCAGACUCUUCCGCCUCCCAGCGCAGACCCUUUGGCUUCCUGCCACAGACUCACACCAGACUGCAGGGAGCUCCAGGCCUGAGACCUCCAGCUGGAUCCUCCAGCCCUCCAGCACACAGGCAGCCAUUUUUCAUUCUUCCUCCCCUUCCUCCACUGUGGCCAUUUUAAGCCAAUUUUGUAAAUCCUUUAUAUAUCAUAUAUAUAUAUAUUCAUAUAUUAAAUCAGUUCCUCUAAUGGACCCUAACUGAUACGAUGACCUUAUCUAGAAAUAAGGUCACUGCAGGAGUGACUAGUUAAAUUGAGGUGAGGUCACCCUGGGCGUUUGAUCCAGUAUGACUGAUAUCCUUAGAAAAAACGGAGAAAGACACACACAGGCAGGAAACAGCUGUGAUGACAGAGGCAGAAAUCCGAGUGACAUGUCUACAAGCCAAGGAAUGCUAAAACUUGCCAGCAACCUAUCGGAAGCUGGGAAGAGAUGAGAGGGGAUCCCACCCUGCCUGUUUCAGAAGGAACAUGGUCCUGCCAACCUUGACUUCAGAUUUCUGGAAUCUUCCUGAGAGGUGAGAGGAUAAAUUUAAGCCGCCCAGUUUGUGUCACUUUGGUGCAGCAGCCCUAGAGAAUAAAUGGAGCCUGAACACAUUUUGUCUCUUCCUCUCCCCUGACCCCCACACACACCUAGAAAACAUCCUCCUCCAACCAUGUGUCUUUCAUUUUUCCUUACCCAGGCUGCCUUUGUGUGGGACCAGAUCAUGUGGCUCUUUUAACUCCAGAGAUGUUUCCAGUAACCCAGAUGUUUAGACCAAUGUAGACUAAACAGCCGGAUGCUUGGCCAGGCCCGUCCCUAUUUGAUCCUAAUGUUUUGGCAUCUGGGCCACCACUGUAGGCAAGGCAUUUGCCCUUGAAGAAAUGUGGGUCUCUUCUCGUGACCAGAUGUCCCCACCAGAGUAGAGCAAAGUGGCCAGAAAGAGCAUGGUGUGGCUGAUCUCCAACUCAGCAUCACAAGGAUCACAGAUCCCCCAGCAGGAGGCAGUUCACCUCGUGGUUGGGGACGGACCUCCAAAGGCAGCUUUCUUCCCGGAUGCCAUGAGUUGAGCAACUUUUCUUCACCACAUCCUUCUGCUGUGACAUUUCUGCCUGAUGCCCCCUUGACCAUGGAUUGAAUCAUGAACCAAAAUAAGCCUUUCCUCCUCUUUCCCAGGCUCAGCUUCUUCUAAGACUGAUUUCCCUCAUGGGUGUAGGAUGGCAUCAUCAGCGCAACCCGGGUGUGGAGAAAUAAAGUUCCUCUUUGCUUUGAGCAAAACAAUAAAAGGCAACUGACAGAAUCAAGGUCAAGGAUAUUUCAAGGAGAGGUGACAACUGUGGAGCCCACAUCCUGCUCAAAGGGGGAGAUGCUCCCCAACCAGAGGAUCACUGCCCCCAGGGCACUGGGUGCCCAAUAGCCCGAGCAAUUUUUUUUUAAGAAACUGAACGAUUUAGAUUUUUGAAAUGCAAAAUACUCCAGUUUUUAAAUAUUUCUACAUUUUUUCGUGUUUGAGCAAUUAUUAAAUACUAUGCCAGUUAAAGCAAAUAUGGCAGCAACCUUGGUUUAUCAUUUCUAAAAUAAACUCAAAUUUCCAGCUGUUUUCCUGACA
Molecule: long non-coding RNA, 3756 nt
Organism: Chinchilla lanigera (long-tailed chinchilla)
Lineage: Eukaryota; Metazoa; Chordata; Mammalia; Rodentia; Chinchillidae
Exons: 4
Source: RefSeq, a predicted model, not a curated record